This 428-nucleotide ribosomal RNA is filed under the name Pseudomonadota bacterium. RNAcentral describes it as "Proteobacteria bacterium partial 16S ribosomal RNA". It matches the Rfam family "Bacterial small subunit ribosomal RNA", at positions 355 to 776 of the family's 1533-position model. The record is from RNAcentral. Lineage: Bacteria; Pseudomonadati; Pseudomonadota.
UGGGGAAUAUUGGACAAUGGGCGAAAGCCUGAUCCAGCCAUGCCGCGUGUGUGAAGAAGGUCUUCGGAUUGUAAAGCACUUUAAGUUGGGAGGAAGGGCAGUAAGCGAAUACCUUGCUGUUUUGACGUUACCGACAGAAUAAGCACCGGCUAACUCUGUGCCAGCAGCCGCGGUAAUACAGAGGGUGCAAGCGUUAAUCGGAAUUACUGGGCGUAAAGCGCGCGUAGGUGGUUCGUUAAGUUGAAUGUGAAAGCCCCGGGCUCAACCUGGGAACUGCAUCCAAAACGGGCGAGCUAGGGUAGGGCAGAGGGUGGUGGAAUUUCCUGUGUAGCGGUGAAAUGCGUAGAUAUAGGAAGGAACACAGUGGCGAAGGCGACCACCUGGGCUCAUACUGACACUGAGGUGCGAAAGCGUGGGGAGCAAACAGG